ACGCACCGAGCACACAUUUGUCCCACGCAUGAAGUCUUUUUAGAAUUUCUAAUACAUACGGAGAGGGAGUAGUGCAGGUAGGUGAUAAUUAGUGCUCAGGAGUGACCAAUCAAAAGCAUGCUGAAACAAAACCUGAAAACUAACCCUUUUCAUCUCACUAAGUGGAAAUGCUCUGUUUUUGCCUUGAAGAAAUCCACAACUGCUUCAAUUCCAGCAUUCUAACCUUCCCAAACUGAAAUGCUGCUGCUGCCCUGUUUUUUUUAUCAAAUUCUCUACCUGUGCCAGCGCCUAUCUGAGCUCCUUGUACGGCAGAACCUGCAGAACAAGAACCUCAUGAGCAAGAAUCUGAAGAAUACUGCUGAAAGAACAAGAACCUGAAGAAAGUCACAAUUAAGGUGAUACUGAUGAAAGUGCAUUUUACUGUGCUUUUGACAUUAUUAUUUGAAGGAGCAAAUGCUCAAAUUGAAACAGAUUAUUUGGGUAUGGUACUUUAAUUCCAGAUGAUCAACAAAUGUCAUGUUUUGAUUCAUGGAUCAUGCAUAUAUAUCCUGCCAUUCCAGCUCAAGUUAGACUAAUGCAGCAAGACCAUAAACAUGUACUCCUGGUAUACAGCGGAGCAUACGGCAUACAGCGGAGCAAGCUAAUGCUGCUACACUGCUGAAUUAAACAUUCUUUGCCUAAGAUGUCUAUGCAUUAAUGUAAUGCAUGAAAGUCACUACAAACAAGCAAAUACUCUUGUUUUCUGUAGUACUCAUGUUAUCAAGCAGAAAAGGAAAAGAAGAGAAAAGAAACAACAUUCAUGGGAGUGGGAGAUGCUUCUGAUAAUCUGAUGCCAAAAAGAAAUGAAGAAAAUAAUGAUGUCUUUGUACAUACGGCCAUAAACCCCAAUGAUAGAGCGAGCAUGAACACUGAACAGGGAAAGCAAACGGUGCUCCGGCCUCCGGAUCCAGUCAGAAAACGAUCAAGGCAUCACGUUCCCAAAUCCUACCUCACCUGGUCAUUAUCAGUCCCUUUAAUGUUCUGGAUCAGGAGCAAGGUGUACUCCUCCCUGCCUUUUUGUUUGCCCUAAUCCUACUCCCCUUUUUUGAAAGGGGUUUUUGUUUUGGAAUUGGAAUUCUUAUCCGAAUAAGCAGAUCCUUCAGUAUCACUGCCAUUUCUGUAGCAUUCCUUAAUGGUAGUGUUCUUUUUUCCUUAUUGUGUGAUCUGAAUAAGCACAUUCCCAAAGCUAUAAGAUGCUUUAACUGAACAUUUACAGACAUCUGUUACUACUGGAUAAUCACCACAUUACUACUACUGGUCACUACACUACAUGGUCAGAUUUGAGAAGAGAGCGAACUUUGGCUACAUAAGAUAUUGUACAUACCAAUAGAAAGAAAUGGCCCAUGUGUCCAUAGCAAUAGAAAGAAUUACUCUAGCACAUUUGUACUUGCUGCAGAAAUUAUAUGUUUGGUCACAACUACUCAGGGUAUAUAAUCUCCUACUCCAAAUAGCUAUAAACAGAUAGAAUCAGUAGCAACUCCAAAUUAAAUGACCAUAGUAAUUAGGAACAAUUUGCUGUAAAUUUACUCCUGAUAUUAGGAGUACUGUAAUUUACUCCUGACAUUUUGCAAGAUUACUACUGGUACAUUUAAACAGAACAAUUUGCUGAAAAAGGAGUACAUCAUGAUGAUGAACAAGUACUCCAGCAGUUAACAGGAACAAAUCAUUGCAGCAACACAUGAAUUAAACCAUGUCACAAGUCCAGUGCUAGCUAUCUGUGGCACCAUAGAGAAGAGGAGGAACUCACCUAGGUGGUUGUAGUCGAGGUAGAAGCUCGUCGCCGCCGUCCCUGCACGGCGAGGAAGAAGCUGCAGCACCGAGAGAGCCACGUCUUUAACAGUAACAGUAACAAUCUAUUACCUGCAAGAAGAAUGAAGAAAAUCUCUUGGAUUACAGUACACUCACAUAGUUAUUGCUGUGGCCAAGAAUAAAAUGUUUAAACACUGAAUUUACUCCAAGAACUUAAACAACAAUCUAGAAUAUUGAAGUACAGCAAGCAGCAGAGAUAUCAUCCUCCCACACUUGUUCCUUUGUUCUUAAGAAGAUAAACAUCAUCAUAGUACUCGAAUUACAGAAAAGUUCCAGAAAUAAUGACUGAAACUUGGAAGCUGGGCCACAAUCAGGAGUAAUUGUAGCAAUGAGGAACUAGCGAAAAUACUGCACUCCUAAUUAACUCUGAACAUGGAUUGAUUACUCAUCGAGGAGACGCAGAACGCUGCGGCCAGAGAAGCAGCAAUGAAAAUGAGACGAAGAAUGUUGGGCAUCAAUUACUCUUAGGAAGAUUUGGAACCACCGCAGAUUAAGUCGAGAAAGGGAAGCACCACGGAUUAAGGCGAAAUUACUCCAUCUAUCUGUCAGUGCACUCUCCGCCCGCCAUGGAGGACA
RNAcentral lists this long non-coding RNA (2424 nucleotides) under Triticum aestivum (bread wheat). RNAcentral's name for it is "long non-coding RNA (TAES_LNC000542)". The record is from RNAcentral. Lineage: Eukaryota; Viridiplantae; Streptophyta; Magnoliopsida; Poales; Poaceae.